CUCUCACUCUCUUCAAACCCACUGUUGACGCUCCUUUCCUGAGCUUAGCAGAUAAUGUAGAUUAUUACUUAAUAUGAAUUGGAUCCCUCAUGAUAUAUGGCCCUCCACUCAAGCCUUCAUCUCCAUCUUACCUAUAUUUCAACAACUCUGAAUAUCCAGCCAAGUGCCUACAUCAUAAAUCACCCUAUGCCUUGACACUCAAUGAUUGGUGCAGAAUGAGUUCCUGGACAUCAAAGCUACAGACAUGACUUCAUGAGCAAGAAUGAACAUGCUUGCUGUGCAUCAGCUUGUAGAUAAUUGCAAAAGAUCAAUAAAAAUAGCUUGCUCU
This is a non-coding RNA of Oryctolagus cuniculus (rabbit), 328 nucleotides long. The record is from RefSeq and is a predicted model, not a curated record. NCBI's taxonomy places the organism in Eukaryota, Metazoa, Chordata, Mammalia, Lagomorpha, Leporidae.